Molecule: long non-coding RNA, 733 nt
Organism: Oryza brachyantha (malo sina)
Lineage: Eukaryota; Viridiplantae; Streptophyta; Magnoliopsida; Poales; Poaceae
Exons: 2
Source: RefSeq, a predicted model, not a curated record
CAAGCAAAGGGAGCGCAUACAGAUCGCAUAUAUUGGGGGUAAUUAAGCUGGGUCACUCAACCGCUACCUCGGAAUGCAAAAGCGCACCUCCUCUGCAGAGACCGGGUGGGGGGCACCUGAGAUAGGCUGCGGCGGAGGGGGACCAGUCCAGAGAGAGAUCCAAGGGAAGGGAGGCGCGCUGAGGAAGAGGAGAGGGGACGGCGGUCGAGGGGAGGACGCCGGCGACAACAGAGAAAUGGGGGAUUGGAUUUGAUUUGGUUGGGAGCGAAUCUAAAGGAAAAUGCUCUGCGCCAACGCUGGCCGUCCGAUUGGCUGGUUGCUGCCGCUGUACAAUUUAGUACUGGGACAAAAACAUUUCAAUCCUAUGGAAAAGUUUUCUAUGAGCGUGUUUCAAACAAAGGUGAAGGAUUCUGAUCCACAAAUUUUCUAGAACUUGGAUAACCACAUACAUUGAUCAUGGUUUGAUACAUCAUGUACCUAGCCUAGGCAAUCACUUGGGUAGCUAACAACAACUUCUGGGUCGCAUUCAAGAUAACUUUACGACAAGUUCUCAGUCCUGUUCAACAUAUCUUUACUGCAUUUAAAAAUGCUCCACUGCGGAAGGUGGCUUACCUGUGUCACAUCUGCCUAAUAUAAGAAUGAGGGGUAAGGCAAGAUUGUAGUCUUUAAAAAGUCUUAGAGUUACUUGUGAGAAGUUGUGAUCAAAGAAAACACAAAGAUGAACUUGGAAUGA